This 461-nucleotide RNase P RNA is filed under the name Candidatus Omnitrophota bacterium. RNAcentral's name for it is "RNase P RNA component class A". It matches the Rfam family "Bacterial RNase P class A". From Rfam's summary of the family: Ribonuclease P (RNase P) is a ubiquitous endoribonuclease, found in archaea, bacteria and eukarya as well as chloroplasts and mitochondria. Its best characterised activity is the generation of mature 5'-ends of tRNAs by cleaving the 5'-leader elements of precursor-tRNAs. Cellular RNase Ps are ribonucleoproteins. Lineage: Bacteria; Pseudomonadati; Candidatus Omnitrophota. The record is from RNAcentral.
AGAGCAAACCGGAUGGUCGCUGCGCAGGUUUAAAUUGUGUAGAGGAAAGUCCGAGCUCCAUAGGACAGCGUAAUGGGUAAUUCCCAUCCCUUUGACAUCUUUGAUGUCAAGGGCGGAUUAGAGCAACAGUGACGAUACCCGCCUAGGCGGGGGUGAAACGUGGCAAUCUCUGCGUGGAGCAAGACCGAAUAGGAGGAGGGUGGUCCGCCUGUUAUUCCUCGGGUUAGGUCGCAAAGAUUCCCUAAAGUAAUUUAGGGAACAAGAUGAAUGACUGUCACCUCAUUUAGCCUGAAUAUUUCAUGAAUAACAUGAAAUAUCCACCCGAAGGGCUGAUGAGAUAAAUUGUGUAACAAUUUAUCUCUGCUUUCAGGGUAUGCCAUUUCAUAGCUCAUUUUCUUCAGGCUAUGAAGGAUAGAGGCUAGUAUGAGGCACAGAACUCGGCUUAUAGGUUUGCUCUCUUU